This 148-nucleotide non-coding RNA is filed under the name Gorilla gorilla gorilla (western lowland gorilla). The record is from Rfam by way of RNAcentral. Lineage: Eukaryota; Metazoa; Chordata; Mammalia; Primates; Hominidae.
GCUGGGCGUGGUGACGCACGCCUGUAGUCCCAGCUACUCAGGAGGCUGAGGCAGGAGAAUUGCUUGAACCUGGGAGGCAGAGGUUGCAGUGAGCUGAGAUCGUGCCACUGCACUCCAGCCUGGGCAACAGAGCGAGACUCUGUCUCAA